Molecule: ribosomal RNA, 553 nt
Filed under: uncultured bacterium
Lineage: Bacteria
Description: partial 16S ribosomal RNA
Rfam family: Bacterial small subunit ribosomal RNA
Source: RNAcentral
UAGGGAAUCUUCCACAAUGGACGCAAGUCUGAUGGAGCAACGCCGCGUGAGUGAAGAAGGUUUUCGGACCGUAAAGCUCUGUUGUUGGUGAAGAAGGAUAGAGGUAGUAACUGGCCUUUAUUUGACGGUAAUCAACCAGAAAGUCACGGCUAACUACGUGCCAGCAGCCGCGGUAAUACGUAGGUGGCAAGCGUUGUCCGGAUUUAUUGGGCGUAAAGCGAGCGCAGGCGGAAGAAUAAGUCUGAUGUGAAAGCCCUCGGCUUAACCGAGGAAUUGCAUCGGAAACUGUUUUCUUGAGUGCAGAAGAGGAGAGUAGAACUCCAUGUGUAGCGGUGGAAUGCGUAGAUAUAUGGAAGAAUACCAGUGGCGAAGGCGGCUCUCUGGUCUGCAACUGACGCUGAGGCUCGAAAGCAUGGGUAGCGAACAGGAUUAGAUACCCUGGUAGUCCAUGCCGUAAACGAUGAGUGCUAAGUGUUGGGAGGCUUCCGCCUCUCAGUGCUGCAGCUAACGCAUUAAGCACUCCGCCUGGGGGGUACGACCGCAAGGUUGAAAC